AUGUCUGAUCAGAGUGAUAGCCAGAACAAAUCAGAAGAGCAAGUGAACAUGAGUGAGGGCACUAGUCCCUCUAGCAGCUAUGAUGAGGGCAGAAGGAGCACUCCAAGCAAUUUGCCUAAGGCAGCUACAAGAACAAGGAAGAAGAGAAACUCAGACUCAAAGGAUGAGGACUAUGUGGCUACCGAGGAGGAAGUGAGCUCCAAGGAGAAAGUGCUGAAGAAGGAAUAUGGAGCUACUGCUGCAACAAAACCUGGUAUGCACAAGAAGGCACCUGCCAAAAGAGUUCCUUGUGGCACCCCGGCUCAGAGCAACCGGUUUACCUUGCAUUGCGAGCCCAGUGAUCAUGUCUUCUGGAAACACACAACAUCUUGGUAUAGAAAAUAA
This 384-nucleotide ribosomal RNA is filed under the name Triticum aestivum (bread wheat). RNAcentral's name for it is "partial small subunit ribosomal RNA". The record is from RNAcentral. Lineage: Eukaryota; Viridiplantae; Streptophyta; Magnoliopsida; Poales; Poaceae.